UGGCUGGCUGGCGGGCGGUUGGUGGAGGUGUUGGCUGGCUGGCUGGCGGGCAGUUGGUGGAGGUGUUGGCUGGCUGGCGGGCGGUUGGUGGAGGUGUUGGCUGGCUGGCUGGCGGGCAGUUGGUGGAGGUGUUGGCUGGCUGGCUGGCGGGCAGUUGGUGGAGGUGUUGGCUGGCUGGCUGGCGGGCGGUUGGUGGAGGUGUUGGCUGGCUGGCUGGCGGGCAGUUGGUGGAGGUGUUGGCUGGCUGGCUGGCGGGCGGUUGGUGGAGGUGUUGGCUGGCUGGCGGGCAGUUGGUGGAGGUGUUGGCUGGCUGGCUGGCGGGCGGUUGGUGGAGGUGUUGGCUGGCUGGCG
Oncorhynchus tshawytscha (Chinook salmon) is the source of this 351-nucleotide long non-coding RNA. The record is from Ensembl. NCBI's taxonomy places the organism in Eukaryota, Metazoa, Chordata, Actinopteri, Salmoniformes, Salmonidae.